Molecule: ribosomal RNA, 253 nt
Filed under: uncultured bacterium
Lineage: Bacteria
Description: partial 16S ribosomal RNA
Rfam family: Bacterial small subunit ribosomal RNA
Source: RNAcentral
UACGGAGGGUGCAAGCGUUGUCCGGAAUCACUGGGCGUAAAGGGCGCGUAGGCGGCUCGGUAAGUAGGGGGUGAAAUCCUGCGGCUUAACCGCAGGGCUGCCUUCUAAACUGUCAGGCUGGAGCACAGUAGAGGCAGGUGGAAUUCCCGGUGUAGCGGUGGAAUGCGUAGAGAUCGGGAAGAACAUCAGUGGCGAAGGCGGCCUGCUGGGCUGUUGCUGACGCUGAGGCGCGACAGCGUGGGGAGCAAACAGG